This is a long non-coding RNA of Pipistrellus kuhlii (Kuhl's pipistrelle), 672 nucleotides long. RefSeq lists it as uncharacterized. The transcript is spliced from 2 exons. The record is from RefSeq and is a predicted model, not a curated record. NCBI's taxonomy places the organism in Eukaryota, Metazoa, Chordata, Mammalia, Chiroptera, Vespertilionidae.
AAGUCCCCACCCAAGGCGCUUGCCGCAGGAAGGAAGCUGGCAACCCUGGGCUCAAAUGGCAUGACCAGGACAGACUGGCAGCCCAUGGGGAGAACAAACCCAGAGCCCCCACAGAAGCUGCGGAAACUAGCUAAUUUCAGUUCCAGGAACAAACUACCAGCAAUACAAUAAUAAUGCUCUGAAGGCUGCAUGGCAGAAUAACACAAACACUUUACCUCGAAGAAAGCAAAACUAAAACCACCUGAGAGAAUCAGAUGAGAAGAAACCAGACAAGAAGCCCUGGGUUUCCAUCCUUAGAAGGUCAACAGAACCUGGUGUGGUGUGAGCAGCAUGGCGGGGAGGGGUGUUCAGUGAGAAGGUGACCACACAGCUGGACCGCUCCAGCGUGGGCCUGGGGUCUCUUCAUAAAGAGCUUCAAGGUCAAUGCCACAGGUUCAGUUUUGUCUCCUUUUGGUCAGUAUGCCAAUUCUAACAGGUGGACUCUAAUUUCUGGCCCCUUACAUGCUGCCGAGCAGUUAUUGACCUUUUCACACACAGCCGCUAUUUCAGCCCAGGGACUCUGUGCUAAGAGGGCCCCUGAGGUUUUGGGGAAGCUCUGACUGUCUUAAGCAUUCCUAAAAGCCUCCGUGCUUGUGCCUUCUCAAUCAGAAUUAAAGGUCCCAAAUCUAAAAA